CGCCCUGUCAUUGGGGAGUAGCCUCCUUCCGCUCGAGAAGGGGACGCAUCAACAGACUUGGCCGACCGGCCAUGGUGCGUCCGACCGCUGGGUUUGGCGAGACCUUUGACGUGGUGCCCCGAGCCGGGUUGGGCGGGGGCAUUGCGUCAUCGGUAAUCCACCGCCCGA
This 168-nucleotide small RNA is filed under the name Candidatus Accumulibacter. RNAcentral's name for it is "Manganese sequence". It matches the Rfam family "Manganese Mn2+ riboswitch aptamer (yybP-ykoY)". Rfam says of the family: This RNA was originally discovered in E. coli during a large scale screen and was named SraF. The family was later found to exist upstream of related families of protein genes in many bacteria, including the the yybP and ykoK genes in B. subtilis. The specific functions of these proteins are unknown, but this structured RNA element may be involved in their genetic regulation as a riboswitch. The record is from RNAcentral. Lineage: Bacteria; Pseudomonadati; Pseudomonadota; Betaproteobacteria.